RNAcentral lists this long non-coding RNA (441 nucleotides) under Parus major (Great Tit). RNAcentral's name for it is "lncRNA (ENSPMJG00000008982.1)". The record is from RNAcentral. Lineage: Eukaryota; Metazoa; Chordata; Aves; Passeriformes; Paridae.
GUCAAAUCUCCAGCCUCAGACAAUGACAGCAGCACGACUCAACAGAUUGUGUUCCUGAGUUUUGGUGACACCCAACCUGCUGCCCACAAGGAGCCCAACCCCAAGUGAUAGUCAGCAGGUGUUGGCUGUCUUGUGGGAGCGAGGAGAAGAGGUGGACAGCAAGGAGGAAAGGUGGAAUGCCAGCAGCACACCCUUGUUGGCACCUUACAAAUGGCAAGAUGUCAAGGAAGGGGAAGCUGUGCUGUGCAAUGCACAUCAGCAGUCAGCAAAGGCGAGUUCUCUUCCUGAUCUCAUGGUGGAGGGGUGAGUGAGCUGACGGCUGCAGACCAUGAUGUCCAUCCAGGAGAACAGUCUACCUUCAGGAAAGCCAGGCAAAGAAGACAUACAUGUGUUUAAUAUAAAAUCUGUUUUAAAAGGGCCCCUGUGUGGUGCAAAUUUCUG